GGGGGAGUUUGGGGAUUUUUGGGGAUUUUUUGGGAAUUUUUUGGGGAUUUUUUGGGGGGUUUUGGGGCUCUAAAAGGGUCAAAAAUGGGGAAAAUCGGCUUUAAAGUCGGAGUUUGGUACUGGUUUGGUACUGGUUUGUACUGGUUUAUACCGGUUUAUACUGGUUUAUACUGGUUUAUACUGGUCCAUACUGGUUUAUACUGGUUUAUAAUGGUUUAUACUGGUCCAUACUGGUUUAUACUGGUCCAUACUGGUUUCUCUGCUCAGGUUCUGGGGCGCUGCCUGCGGCUGCUGUGCCGCCUGCGCUCGCUGGGGGCGCUGCAGCUUUACACCGCUCCAUACUGGUUUAUACUGGUUUAUACUGGUUUCUCCCCACAGGUUCUGGGGCGCUGCCUGCGGCUGCUGUCCCGCCUGCAGCCACUGGGGGCGCUGCAGCUUUACACCGCUCCAUACUGGGUUAUACUGGUUAUACUGGUUUACACCGCUCCAUACUGGUUUAUACUGGUCCAUACUGGUUUAUACUGGUUUAUACUGGUCCCCACAGGUGCUGGGGCGCUGCCUGCGGCUGCUGUCCCGCCUGCGCUCGCUGGGGGCGCUGCAGCUUUACACCGCUCCAUACUGGUUUAUACUGGUUUAUACUGGUCCAUACUGGUUUAUACUGGUUUCUCCCCACAGGUUCUGGGGCGCUGCCUGCAGCUGCUGUCCCGCCUGCGCCCACUGGGGGCGCUGCAGCUUUACACCGCUCCAUACUGGGUUAUACUGGUUUAUACCGGUUUAUACUGGUUUAUACUGGUCCAUACUGGUUUAUACUGGUUUAUACUGGUUUCUCCCCA
RNAcentral lists this long non-coding RNA (833 nucleotides) under Chloebia gouldiae (Gouldian finch). RNAcentral describes it as "Erythrura gouldiae (Gouldian finch) lncRNA (ENSEGOG00005018710.1)". Lineage: Eukaryota; Metazoa; Chordata; Aves; Passeriformes; Passeridae. The record is from RNAcentral.